Long non-coding RNA from Ixodes scapularis (black-legged tick), 449 nucleotides. RefSeq lists it as uncharacterized. The record is from RefSeq and is a predicted model, not a curated record. NCBI's taxonomy places the organism in Eukaryota, Metazoa, Arthropoda, Arachnida, Ixodida, Ixodidae. The transcript is spliced from 2 exons.
CUGAUGGAGCGACAGCUGAAUAUCGGCUCGUUUAUUCGGACUACUCAAGCUGCGACGUGAUGGUUGUCUUUGGAACACUGGAACCGAGAUGUGAACUAUGGAUCAAGGAUGGCAAACAACAACACAUUGAAGGCAACAUGAAAGUCGAAUCAACGGACAAUGGCAGUGAUGAUAUCAAGAAUAGCAUAACCAAAUGCAAAGAAGAAUACGACAAUCUAUGCAAAGUGAAAUACCAAAUCUACGACAGAGAUCUAUGCAGUUCAGCAAUGAAAUGACCCCAUGAGAGUGACACCCUUGAGGGGUUUAGAGCGUGAUCAGAAAUGACUAAUCAAGAGACACAACAUUGCCGGCAAUUAGUUUAGAGCACUCUGGAAUGCGCUCAAUUAAUCAUUGUUUAGUUUUAAGUGGUUAUGGGAUGGUUGUUUGUACAAAUAAAUUGUCAAAGCAGA